RNAcentral lists this ribosomal RNA (388 nucleotides) under uncultured bacterium. RNAcentral's name for it is "bacterial SSU rRNA". It matches the Rfam family "Bacterial small subunit ribosomal RNA", at positions 28 to 417 of the family's 1533-position model. The record is from RNAcentral.
GACGAACGCUGGCGGCGUGCUUAACACAUGCAAGUCGAGCGGUAAGGCCCUUUCGGGGGUACACGAGCGGCGAACGGGUGAGUAACACGUGGGUGACCUGCCCUCAGCUCUGGGAUAAGCCUGGGAAACUGGGUCUAAUACUGGAUAUGACUCCACGGUGCAUGUCGUGGGGUGGAAAGCCUUGUGCGGCUGAGGAUGGGCCCGCGGCCUAUCAGCUUGUUGGUGGGGNGAUGGCCUACCAAGGCGACGACGGGUAGCCGGCCUGAGAGGGCGACCGGCCACACUGGGACUGAGACACGGCCCAGACUCCUACGGGAGGCAGCAGUGGGGAAUCUUGCGCAAUGGGCGAAAGCCUGACGCAGCGGCGCCGCGUGAGGGAUGACGGCCU